RNAcentral lists this ribosomal RNA (241 nucleotides) under uncultured bacterium. Its description in RNAcentral is "partial 16S ribosomal RNA". It matches the Rfam family "Bacterial small subunit ribosomal RNA", at positions 114 to 353 of the family's 1533-position model. The record is from RNAcentral.
CACGUAUCCAACCUGCCGAUGACUCGGGGGAUAGCCUUUCGAAAGAAAGAUUAAUACCCGAUGGCAUAGUUCUUCCGCAUGGUGGAACUAUUAAAGAAUUUCGGUCAUCGAUGGGGAUGCGUUCCAUUAGGUUGUUGGCGGGGUAACGGCCCACCAAGCCUUCGAUGGAUAGGGGUUCUGAGAGGAAGGUCCCCCACAUUGGAACUGAGACACGGUCCAAACUCCUACGGGAGGCAGCAUG